Eptesicus fuscus (big brown bat) is the source of this 105-nucleotide small nuclear RNA. The record is from RefSeq and is a predicted model, not a curated record. Lineage: Eukaryota; Metazoa; Chordata; Mammalia; Chiroptera; Vespertilionidae.
GUGCUUGCUUCGGCAGUACAUAUACUAAAAUUGGAACAAUACAGAGAUUAGCAUGGCUCCUACACAAGGAUGACACACUCAUGAAGCAUUCCAUAAAAAAUAUGU